CUUACCGACCAUUAUUUUUCUAGAUUAUGGAUCUCUGAAAUCUGUUGGAGCAUACUUGGGACAGACUUCAUUCACCUCUCCUUCCAAAACUGCCACAGGCCUGUCACCCAGGCCCCCACCUCCCAUUCAGCCGAUUCAUGGGAGAACAGACUGGAUUUCCAAAUAUGGGGGCCGGAGAUAAGGGGCCUUGAUGGCGUUUAUAUUUUGCACUCAACACCUGCUUUGGAUUGGUAAUCUGACAUGGAAGGAACUACCUUCAUAUCCCUGUCCUUUUAAGCUGGAGGACGACAAGCAACUGGCUGAAAUUUCAACAUUUUCUUACAAAACUUAUUUUGUCACCAAAUGAAGGUCUUAGGUCUUUAUUUUAGAUUGAUGCCAUUUAUUACUACUGUAUUUUGGUAACAAUUUAUACUAAGUUAGAAUACUAACCAAGCAGGACAUUCACUAACUGGAGAGAAAGCUAAUGCAUGAUCAUUUUAUGGAAGCUUAUAUUUGCACUCUCCAAGGACCACAAGAGUCAGCUGAAUAGCUGGAGAGACCAUUACAAUGCUCUCAUAAGGAAGCCUUUAUCUUUGCUUUUUGAAUCUUUCCCAGAAUAGCUGCAUUGCUUAUUAACUGAUUUUUGUUAUUGUUUGUUUUUUAGCAUAUCUGCAAUGCAUUGCUGAGCAAUACUUUGCAGUACUUUUCUUUACUGAAAAGGUUAAUAUUUUAUGGUCCUCUGAAUUCAAUGGGAUAAUAACCAAAUGUCCCGACAGGCAGUAAGUAAUAAACUAUAUUUUAUAAGACUCCUAUGCCUUGUCUUAAAGGGUCUCUGUCACACCUAACACAUCAGUCUUUUUUGCUAUGUGUAAAUAAUUUAAUCUAUAAGUAAUACUUGCCAAAUGGAUAACACAUAUAGUAAACUAUAAUUGGCCCUAUGCUAGUCACAAGAGAUUGCUGAAAAGAACUCCAUUGGAUGCCUGCUCAUCACCUGGCAUCUGCUUACAUGUGUCCCAGAAAACUUAGCUUUCUGAUGGAUCAGAUAGAAUGCUGAGAGAGACUUGUGCAUGUAUCAUCCCCUAUCUCUGUGACAAGAUGUAAUGUAAAUAGAUUUGCAAAUUUAGUUAUAAAAAAAAUGCACACUUGGUAUCCAUUCAGCAAGUAAUAUCUAUAGAUAAAAUAGCUUCCAGGUUAAAAUACAGUUACACAUGACAGAGUCCCUUUUGUGUAUUUUUUUCUAUUUGAAAGAGGUGUUUCAUUUUUUGUUUACGUUUUAGAACCUAGUACAACGCAAUAUAACCUCAAGUGCUUUAUGUAAUUGUGGCAUUUAAAACUGCAUUUUGCACAUUCUCCACAAUCACAGCCGACUGACAAAAAUGUGUCAAAAAUAGCAGCAGGAACUGACUAGGAUAGUUUUCAUAAACUGCUGUUAUGGCCUAAAUUUUACAAAUCAGACUGUUAUGAUGACUUGAUAAUGGUUAAGUGAAUUGAACCAAAGGUGUGGAUUAUAUGUACCCACAAAGCCCAGCAUGUAGAUAAAAAAACUUAAAAUAAGUGAAAUGGUACUUGACCAGUUUAAUUGAUCAAUAUAUAAUAUUAUCUAUAUAUGCAAUGUACAGAAGUGCGUUUGUUCAAAUACUUUCUGGACUACAGACGAUCCUUUUAUCCACUGCAGUACAGGUUUGUGAUAUUUAGGUUUGUACUGCAUUAUAUAGUUCAUGCAGUACAGGCUUGUGAUAUUGUGCCCUUAAUUACAGUGUGUGGUUAGUGGUUUUAGAAAGCAUUACAUGCAAAAAGCAAAUUAUCACUGGGUAUGCCAAGAGCAACUCUGCUGUUGUUGGUCUGCAAUUUUGCUUAUGCCCAGCCACUUCAAAGGAGAUGGCUGAGUAUAUUAAGACUUGUGUUUGAUAGCUGAAAGGUUGCUGCUCCCUAUCACCGGUACUAGUACAGGCAAAAUGUAACUGAUAGUCUUACUAAUGUUGUGUACAACAGCAUUAUGUUAAAGGGAUAAUAUUGGCAACAGAACCACUUCUGCUUAAUACAGUGGUUAUGGGGCGAAUAGUCUGUCUGGGUUUACACUGCUGCAUAAACCCACCUCUGGUGUUUGUCACUCAGUCAUUAGAGGGACAUCUUUGGUUCAGUCCUGCAAAAAUUACAGACCCGCAGUUCAACGUCUCUAUGCUCUGAACUCUCCAUGUACAGAUGCAUUAACAUGAUGCUUCUCUAUCAGAAGAUGCUGAUCGGUCGCAGUGUGGCGAUUGCCACACAUGCACACUUGCCUACAAAUGCUUCUCUAUGGGUUCAUCAGGAUUGAUCUAAGCAAGCUGGGUAGGGGGCAGGAGGUGUGGGGGGGAGAGGGUAGAAGGAUAACUGCACAGAGACCUGUGUGCUGGGGCAAUAAAGAUAAGUAAAAUGUUUUGGGGAGGAGGAUGGAGGUUAAUUGCCUAAGACUUGUCCUAUUGUUAGAAAAUAUCUUAAGCCAAAUUUGACCUAUCUUUGCAUAUUGCAAUAAGUAUUGUGUGGUUUUGGAUAGUAUCUAAAACGAGUUUUAAUCUAUUUAUAAAUGUGAGGCUUAAGAUUGAAGUUGUACUUUCACCUGAAGAAAAAAACAUGUAUGUGUCAGGUGCCAUAAAAUAGUAUGAAUAUGACAACAUUGGGGGCAUUACCUGCUGCCUUUGGAAAAUACAGGUUGGAGCCAGCAGUGGUAAAUACACACGGUUACUCUAUUUAAUUUAUCCUUGACAGACACUAUAUAUUUCAGGUGUGCCAAUAUAUGUAAAGAAGAUUUUUUUUAUUUUUUUUUUAAUAAUAGUUCUUUAAAAUACUUGUGUUAAAUGUAUCAAUAGUAUUUUGAAUGUUAUUUUUUUGUAUUUUUAUAAACCUUAAUUAUACCCAUGCAAAACUAUUCUAGUGAAUAAUAAAUACGGUUAAACGACUGAUCCAUUUUUUUAUUUUUGAUUCUUUAUUGUUGCACUGAUAGACAUGCAAAGUAUGACAUAGCAAGCUUAUGCAAAAACUAAAACACAGUAGUGGUAUCUUGUGGGUUACAGAAAGGAAAGUUGUGUCGUUGAUGUAAAGAUCAUCUUACAUACAUUGAUCAACAGUUGUUGACUAAUCCAUUUUUAUCUCCAUAAAGUGUUAUGUAUAC
Molecule: long non-coding RNA, 3127 nt
Filed under: Pelobates cultripes (western spadefoot toad)
Lineage: Eukaryota; Metazoa; Chordata; Amphibia; Anura; Pelobatidae
Source: RNAcentral